Molecule: ribosomal RNA, 291 nt
Filed under: uncultured eukaryote
Lineage: Eukaryota
Description: partial 18S rRNA
Rfam family: Eukaryotic small subunit ribosomal RNA
Source: RNAcentral
AAUAGUUUCUUUGGUGGUGACCUACUACAUGGAUAACCGUAGUAAUUCUAGAGCUAAUACAUGCGUAAAUCUCGACUCACGAAGAGACGUAUUUAUUAGAUAAAGACCGACCUCGUUCUGCGGUGAAUCAUAAUAACUUCACGGACCGCAUGGCUUUAUGCCGGCGGUAUUCCAUUCAAAUUUCUGCCCUAUCAACUUUCGACGGUAGGAUAGAGGCCUACCGUGGUGUUCACGGGUGACGGAGAAUUAGGGUUCGAUUCAGGAGAGGGAGCCUGAGAAACGGCUACCACA